RNAcentral lists this ribosomal RNA (413 nucleotides) under uncultured bacterium. RNAcentral's name for it is "partial 16S ribosomal RNA". It matches the Rfam family "Bacterial small subunit ribosomal RNA", at positions 356 to 786 of the family's 1533-position model. The record is from RNAcentral.
GGGGAAUAUUGCACAAUGGGCGAAAGCCUGAUGCAGCAACGCCGCGUGAGUGAUGAAGGUCUUCGGAUUGUAAAGCUCUGUCUUUUGGGACGAUAAUGACGGUACCAAAGGAGGAAGCCACGGCUAACUACGUGCCAGCAGCCGCGGUAAUAUGUAGGUGGCGAGCGUUGUCCGGAUUUACUGGGCGUAAAGGGUGCGUAGGCGGAUGUUUAAGUGAGAUGUGAAAUACCCGGGCUUAACUUGGGUGCUGCAUUUCAAACUGGAUAUCUAGAGUGCAGGAGAGGAGAAUGGAAUUCCUAGUGUAGCGGUGAAAUGCGUAGAGAUUAGGAAGAACACCAGUGGCGAAGGCGAUUCUCUGGACUGUAACUGACGCUGAGGCACGAAAGCGUGGGUAGCAAACAGGAUUAGAUACC